UCAGGAUGAACGCUAGCUACAGGCUUAACACAUGCAAGUCGAGGGGCAGCAUUUUAGUUUGCUUGCAAACUGAAGAUGGCGACCGGCGCACGGGUGAGUAACACGUAUCCAACCUGCCGAUAACUCCGGAAUAGCCUUUCGAAAGAAAGAUUAAUACCGGAUAGUAUACGAAUAUCGCAUGGUAUUUUUAUUAAAGAAUUUCGGUUAUCGAUGGGGAUGCGUUCCAUUAGUUUGUUGGCGGGGUAACGGCCCACCAAGACUACGAUGGAUAGGGGUUCUGAGAGGAAGGUCCCCCACAUUGGAACUGAGACACGGUCCAAACUCCUACGGGAGGCAGCAGUGAGGAAUAUUGGUCAAUGGGCGAGAGCCUGAACCAGCCAAGUAGCGUGAAGGAUGAAGGCUCUAUGGGUCGUAAACUUCUUUUAUAUGGGAAUAAAGUUUUCCACGUGUGGAAUUUUGUAUGUACCAUAUGAAUAAGGAUCGGCUAACUCCGUGCCAGCAGCCGCGGUAAUACGGAGGAUCCGAGCGUUAUCCGGAUUUAUUGGGUUUAAAGGGAGCGUAGGUGGAUUGUUAAGUCAGUUGUGAAAGUUUGCGGCUCAACCGUAAAAUUGCAGUUGAAACUGGCAGUCUUGAGUACAGUAGAGGUGGGCGGAAUUCGUGGUGUAGCGGUGAAAUGCUUAGAUAUCACGAAGAAUUCCGAUUGCGAAGGCAGCUCACUAGACUGUCACUGACACUGAUGCUCGAAAGUGUGGGUAUCAAACAGGAUUAGAUACCCUGGUAGUCCACACAGUAAACGAUGAAUACUCGCUGUUUGCGAUAUACAGUAAGCGGCCAAGCGAAAGCAUUAAGUAUUCCACCUGGGGAGUACGCCGGCAACGGUGAAACUCAAAGGAAUUGACGGGGGCCCGCACAAGCGGAGGAACAUGUGGUUUAAUUCGAUGAUACGCGAGGAACCUUACCCGGGCUUAAAUUGCAACAGAAUAUAUUGGAAACAGUAUAGCCGUAAGGCUGUUGUGAAGGUGCUGCAUGGUUGUCGUCAGCUCGUGCCGUGAGGUGUCGGCUUAAGUGCCAUAACGAGCGCAACCCCUAUCUUUAGUUACUAACAGGUGAUGCUGAGGACUCUAGAGAGACUGCCGUCGUAAGAUGUGAGGAAGGUGGGGAUGACGUCAAAUCAGCACGGCCCUUACGUCCGGGGCUACACACGUGUUACAAUGGGGGGUACAGAAGGCGGCUACCUGGUGACAGGAUGCUAAUCCCAAAAACCUCUCUCAGUUCGGAUCGAAGUCUGCAACCCGACUUCGUGAAGCUGGAUUCGCUAGUAAUCGCGCAUCAGCCAUGGCGCGGUGAAUACGUUCCCGGGCCUUGUACACACCGCCCGUCAAGCCAUGAAAGCCGGGGGUACCUGAAGUACGUAACCGCAAGGAGCGUCCUAGGGUAAAACUGGUA
This 1446-nucleotide ribosomal RNA is filed under the name uncultured organism. RNAcentral describes it as "SSU rRNA". It matches the Rfam family "Bacterial small subunit ribosomal RNA". The record is from RNAcentral.